RNAcentral lists this ribosomal RNA (117 nucleotides) under Anaerotruncus rubiinfantis. Lineage: Bacteria; Bacillati; Bacillota; Clostridia; Eubacteriales; Oscillospiraceae. RNAcentral also lists the same sequence under 1 other name. The record is from RNAcentral.
GCUGGUGUUUAUGACGCUGAGGUCCCACCUGUUCCCAUUCCGAACACAGUAGUUAAGCUCAGCGGUGCCGAAGAUACUUGGGUGGUGACGCCCUGGAAAAAUAGGUCGAUGCCAGCU